AUUCAGAAUCGUGAUUCCGCUUUCGUAUAUCUUCGGUCAGUUUCUUAUUUUCCCUCGGUGUCCAUCAUCGAUGUAUUAAGUCAGGAGGAACAAAUAAUUUCGGCAAAUACGUAUGUGAUUCAUCGUGUCGUCGCCAGAGAAUUCAAGUUUAACACACCCACACGAUUCACCGUUGCGCUAUUGAUUCACUUGAUCUGGUAGUUUGCUCUCCAAACAGAGCAAGACAAAUAUCUCGACACGCGUUGUUACAUAUUUGUUACAUAGAAAAUCCGUGCAACUUUCCAUGAAGCAAGAAUUAAACAAAUAGAAGGGGUAAUCAAGCUGAAAUUUUCAUCGCAGUAGAGAAUUGGUUCGGAUGAAUUAACAACAUAACACGGAUCUUAAUUGGCUCAAUUAACGAAGUUGUAUGGGCGUGAUCAACGCCGUUAUUAAACCGAAUGAACGCGAAUAUUAGCCGCGACGAGAAAUUCCGUCACGUGGUUCUCCAUUCUUUCGUGCUUUCCACCCUCAAUUGUCGCAGCCAGCCGCAUGGUUUUCGACUCGUGACUCGUCACCGAUGCUAUUUAAUCCUCCGUCACAUGAGAACGUGUCAUCACAUGAUCGAGAGCAGGCGUAUGUGACGCGUCCACGCAAUUAAUUUCGAAAACUAUCCGGUUUAAGGGAGUAUUUUUAUUAUUAUUUUUAUGGUGAAAGGGGGGGAAAAAAAAUCGUUCUUCAAGAAUUGUUUGGAGGAAAAAUACAAAGCUAUUAAAAUCUCGGCUUAUUGUCAAGAGCGGUUAGACAACGCAAUAGAAGGAAGUGGAGGCAAACCUCUCGCAAAUUGUCUACGAGAACAUAACCUAAUAGUCUCGGUGAGCCACGUGUACAAUAUUGUUUAUACUCGUUCGGCGGAUGUACCUAUUCACCGAAGUGACUUCUUGAUUUUUGUAUAAACAAGAACCGAAAUGUCUGUAUGCUUAAGUGUCAAGCGAAUGAUUUGCUUCGUCUUUCGUCUUUUUUUUUUAUUCACUUAACAUGCUAGUUUUUUUUUCCUUUUUUUUUAAUAUUACUUUUGUUUCGUUUAGGAAUUUCGUUUAGAAAAAAUAUCGUUUACGAAUUUUUUUUCUUCCAAGGCCAUUGGCCACGUGGCCAAUUUUUUCGAACAAGCAUCUAUCUAAAUCUGCCUUUAACGUGCGUUCCGGGAAUACCGAAUGAUUUGUCGCAAUCGUUUCUUCACGCGUACCGAAUAUAUACGUACAAGCGUAUUAUUUAUUAUUUCCCAUUGCCUAUCCAUUUAAAAUGGAAAGGGUAUUAUGACGAAGCAAAAUAUAUAUAUAGGUAAUGCAACAUUGCCAGUUACCGAUAGUUUUCGAUGUUCAUCACGUAUCAGAGUAUAAAGAAUGCAGUCUUAAGAAUGUUAUUAGAAGAGUUUAAAUCAUGUUUUAAUGGAGUUAAUAAAAUGGAUAGUAAUAUAAAAAUAUUCGAACAUUUAUUAUAUAUAGAAAAUACUUUUGAAUGUAAAAUAUGACAAAUAUCAAGUAGAUAUGAUUAUCAAAAAUUUACGAUAUAUAAAUUUUUUUUAAAUUUGAUAAUUAUUUGAAAAAUUGAAAAAUAUAUAUUUUCGUUAUAAAAUGUUUAUUACAAACAUAAGCUUCAAGAUUAUAAUUAAUUUUAAAGAUAAAUUUUAAAUAAUUAAUAAUAAUUUUUAUUAAUCCUUGAAUGGCUGAACAUUGUUAUAACUUUACUAUUAUAAAUAAUUUUUCUAACAAAAUAUAUAUUAACAAAAUUUACAUUAGAAAAUAUUUCAAGAAAAAAAAAAUAAUUUAAAAGAAAUGAAAAUAAAUUAAAAUAUAAUUAUUUAUUUUCUACCUAAAGUUAAAUAAAAAUUACGCGUUUAAAUACUUUUAUAAACUUUUAUACAUUUUAUUUCAAGUAUUUUUACAAUUUAUAAUUUUAAUGUAUUUAUUAUGUAUCUAUAACGUAUCUGUACUAAUAAUAUUUAAAAAAUGUAUAUAUAAUGUAAAUAAAGUUUAUUUUAUAUUUAUAAAAUUUUUUUGUAGAUAAUAUAUCAAAUAUUUUUGUGGGUCAUUGUACAUAUUAUGCAAUCAAUCAUUAUAUGAUGAUUAAUAUUUUAAAAUAUUUUAAAUAUCUUCAUCUUGAUUUAUGAAAUUUAAAUUUUUAAUUCCAAUUGUAUAUAAAUAUCUAAAAUAAUUUAUUUAAAGAAAUUUAUAUGAAAGUUAAUCAUUAACUAUAGCUAUUAAAUUAUUCUAUUAUUAAUGAUAUUUUAUGAAAAAACUCGACAAUUUAUAAAUAUUUAUAUUAUAAUUGCUUAAUUGCUAAUCAUAAAUUUGUUUAUCUUCAAGAAAUAUACAUCAAUUCACAGAUCUAUAGAGAUCUAUAAUAUAUAUAUAUAGAAUUAUAAAAAGAAUUAGCAUUUUUAACAUAGUAUAGAUUUUAUGAAUAAAUUCAUGAUUAAAUCACAAAAUAUUUUUAAUAUUUUUAAUAAAUCAUUUAAUAAUUCUUUUAUAUAGAAUUAAUGAAAAAGAAGUCAUUAAUAUAUAUACUUUAACAAUAAAAUAGAUUCAAAAAAUUCAAAAAAUAAAUUCAAAAAAUAUAUUACAAAUUAGAAAUUUUUUUAAAUUAUCUUAUUCAAAUUAAUUUAAUAUAUAAUUUAGAAUUUAUAAAACGCGAAAAUAUUUAUUAUUGGAAUUAUUGGAAGAAUAUCACAAUUAAUAUAUACAUUAAAUUUUUUAAAUUUAUAAUAUAUAAAUUUAUAUAUAACGAAGUAUUUCAUUAUACAUAACUAUUUCAUUAUAUCAUUAUCUAUAUAUAUAUGUAUAUAUAUAUAUUCAUAUUUAAUCAGCAUAAUUUUUAUUGUAUAGGUUAACUUAGGUUAUAUGUAGUUAACUGAAUAAAAAAAUAAUAAGCGAAUGCACACAUAUAAUCUAUAGAAUUCUAAAAUUUGAAAUGUCAGUCCGUUCAACGGUUUAUUCUAAAAUAUGUAAAUCCAGUUCAACUGGCUUUGUCAAGAAUACAUUAACUCGACCAUUCUGCGUAUACAUUUUAGUUGCACACGUGUGUUACAAACAUAUAUUUCGAUGUACUGUACAAUGUACGAUAUAAUACUAUACGUAUUGUACAUAAUGAACAUAGUUUUAUUGAAAUUAAUUUUAUGUGUACAUACAUUUAUGUAGAAAAAAAGAAAAAUAUAACUAUAGUUAUGUGCACAUGUGCAUACAAUAUACUAUAUGUAACACGGUGUUGAACGUCAGCGCAUGUCACGUUUCAAAGUUUGAAAAAUAAGCAAAAGAUUUCGUUUUUUAAUGUAAACUUUUGCAAAGAAUAUGUUUGUAUGUAAUAUGAAUGUUACAACAAUAGCUCUUUUCAUAAAAAAUGAUAACAGCGUACUAUUUUAAUAAGAUGUCUGUAACCAAUAAAAUCGAAUAUGCGAUAAUCCAACAUCGAAAUAUUAGUCAGUAUGUUAUCAAUUGUGUUACUAAUAAUUAUAAAUUACUGUAAUUAUGGUAAAACACAAUUAAGAUAAGAAUUAUAAUACCAUUGAGUGAUAAUUCAUAAGUAAUUAUAUUACCGGAAAAUUGUCAACAGAUCGAGUAUCAAAUGAUAAAAACUAAAAUGGCGAUUAAUUACUGAUACAUAUAAUCAAAUACGACGAAACAAUAUAUUUUAAUAAUAUAUAAAAGUUAAACACAAAGUUAUUACUCUCGAAAUGUUGAUCGAAUCUUCUGGAUUAAAGAAAACCUUUCACUUGAUGAGCAUGCAACGAUCGAUCGGAAAAGAAAAAUCGAAAUGUUUACAUACCCUUGUAUGAGAUCGAUACGCGUCGAGCCGUUCCUAGAGCUAGUGUGGCCGUCUGGCCUCGAUCAAAAAAAAAAAGACGGUUUGAAUGCUAUGUGCCAGUAAUUUCUUCGUUACUUCUAACCACUGGAACGUACAGUCAUUGUUUUCAAGCGACAACGCGUUGCCAGGGGUCUACUAGAGGCUGUGUGUAACAACUUUUUUUGAACCGGUACACACACGUUUACGAAGCGACGCACGAGAAUCGUGUUCGCGAAAGCACCGUCUCUGACAGACUGUUCGGAACUGCUCGGUUCGAGUCUCUCUGGACGUCGUUUACGACUUCCCUGGGGAAACGUUACUCGGUCUUUCUUUAACGCCGGCCGGUGGACGCGAACCAGAAGAGAGACAGAGAGAAAGAAAAGGAAAGAAUGAAACGGAAUCAAAUUUCUACGCCGACCAAUCAUGGCGCUUCGCUGUUUAUCGCGCGAAAACCUCCGAACUGGUGUAGUUUAAAGCCUGUUACGCACUGUCGUUCUCUCAAAUUUGUGCCUCUAUACACAGGGGUGAUUUUUUUUUCCUAAUUGUAAUUAAUUACAGUUAUUUUUAAUCAAAAUCGUUUUUUUAAUAGAUUUUUUUAAUAGCAAGUUAAAAAUUUAAAUUUUGUAUUAUAAUCAUGUAUUAUAUAAGUAUUUAAAAUUAUCUUUAAUUUUAUUGUUAAAUUAGAUACAACGGAUUUUCAUUUAAAAUGUGUUUUAUUUGUUCUCGUAUAGAUGGCCGAUGUAUGUAGUUGAUGACCAAUCUUUGAUUUAACAGACAUAAUGUAUAUGUAAUUCAAUUGCAGUGAAAAAUGAACAUUUUUAAAAAACAAAAUUAAUCAAUUUUAUAACAAUAUUGAAAUUGUUAUGAAUUAAAGCUCAUGAUUAUUUUAUAUUUUUAUAAAUGAAAUAAAAAUUCAUUGAUUUCAAAAAUAUUUGCAAAGGACACAUAUAUUUAUAUUAUAAUUAUUAUUUUACGUGAUCUCAAACUACGAUUUUACGUAAAAAUUAUAGCUUUUUUUAUGCAUGCUGAAAUGUAUGUUUAUAUUUACAGAUAACAGAACAAUCAGUUUAUAUAGUCAUUUACCUUUCGCUUAUCAAGAUUUAACAGUUAUCGUUUAAUCAAUAAAUAUUAUAUAAUUAUCAUAUUUUUUAAAGAUAUAAUUUUAAAAUAUUUCUAUAAAUAAAAAUAAACGUAAAAUUAAUAUGAUUAUUCCGAUAGUUUUUUCUUUAAUUACGUAUUAUUUACGAUUUUGCAUACAAUCAAAUAAAUUAUGCGAUAUAAUUAUAAAAAAACAUUAAUUAAUUGACAAAAAUAAAGCAAUUUUUAAAAAAUAAAAAUUAAUUUUCUUAUAUAUAUAUAUAUCUUUUUUCUCUACAAAAUUCAGAUUUGAACAAAAAUAAAAUAUAAAAACAAAGCUUUUUUUAAUUUAAAUAUUAUAUUUUUUUGAAUUGAUUUUAUUAAUAAAUAAUACGACACUUUUUUAUCGUGUCUUAUGUAAAGAAAGGUAUAAUGGGGAAACGUAAAACAAUCUGGCUCGUUGCAAAAAAUGUACAUUACGUUUAUUGAUGGUAGCUCGCGAAGCUCCUCGUGAAUAUCGAGUGAUUACAAAGAGGCGCUUGAUUUAAAGGGUCGAGUAAUUUACGAAGCAACACGUGAUACGCUAGUACACGAUCGUUCCGUAAGGACUCAAAUCAUGUCCUUUGUUGCAUUUUUUUCAUUCCUUUUUUCUUUUUUUUUUUCUUUUUUUUUUUUAACAAGGAAAAAGUCCGCUACGGACUAUAGAAAUCGCUAUGAUGUCUAUAUCGUUUUUCGAUAUCGCGUUUGUCCUCUUUUCAAUUAUUAUUUCAUUCCUCCCUCGUCUCAAUCGAAGAGAUAAGGAGGAAUGAAAAACGGAAUAAUAUUGGAUAACGGGAGAUGAAUACACGAAAUAUUAAUAUUUUCAUCCGAUUGAUACAGGCAAAAUGCUCUACGGUAAGGACAGCGACCGUUUAUAUUAGUACUCUGUGUGUGGUAAUAUUUAUAUAUAUAUAUAUAUAUAUAAUAUAUAUUUCAACGUACAAACUAUAUUGUACCUUAAUAACCUCUAAACGCAUGGGUACAAGGAUAAUAUUUACACAGCCUAGAACCACUUGACACGGUCCAGGAUUACGCGAUAUACCAUUUUUCAAAGAGGUCCAAAGAUUUGACAAUCGGUCUAACCUAACCUCCUUGUUCUAAAUUGAACGUGAUAAUACGCAAUCAUUUAACGGUGUGACAAGUAUUUUUCACGUUCCUAUCAACUAGUUAUCAACAUUUAUACAUAAUACAACCAGGUUCCUCGCACGCACGCACUCUCAGCCCCACUCGUAGGAUUGCGUAACGUUUUUUUUCUUUUUUUUCGUUCGAUUCUCUCGUAACAUAACCCCAUUUUAGCGGAUGGUCGGUUAAUUCGUGUAUUAUGUAAAUAUCAAACAAAUUAUCGCUCAAAUCUAUCAUGAUGUAUACUCGUCAAUGAAAAAUACUUUCUUUAUAAUGAAACAUUUUUGUGGAAAAAACUCUCAAUCGCUCUCUCUCACUCAGUUAUAUAGCUCGAUAAAAAUACCCUGAAGAUGUACAGAUCGUUAAAUAGACGAUUACAUAACAAAUGAAUGAACAAUCAAGUGAGAAAAAUAUGAUUUCGAUUUGUACUUGGAAAUGAUACGAAGACAUUUCGUAAGUAGAUAGUAUAAUCGAAAUAGAAAGAGAAAAAAAAAUCUUUACUACGUAAUACAUAAAAUAACGGGGUUCUUUUUUUUUUUUUUUUUUUUUUUAUAGUCAAAUUCGAUAAAAAUUUCCUGACGCUGCACAUUCCUACUGUGAUCGGGGUGCACCGCUGUAUUUCUAGAUCUUUUACGUACAAAGAAGCGUUUUUGCGCGGAUUCUCAAAUUUAUGUGUACAUUUUGUAUAUAAUUCAAUAUCUUGAGAAUCUCACUGUUCAGUUAUUAUUUAAAUAAAAUAACGGUGAACACUGAUGUACGAUUAUGUAAAGUGACGCGCAUCGUUAUUCUUAUCACGGACGUUUCUUUGUGCGUAAAAGUGCAAAAGGACGCAAGGUGACAUGGCACGAUACCUUAAUCAUUAAAAAAAAAAAAAAAACGAAAAUGAAAAGAGAAGGAGGAAACGAAUCGAUAAAACCGUGCUUAACCUUUAAAACUUGAAACGUUUUACAUUUUCUUCUCAUUGUGAAUAUCAAAUAAUUAUUGAUUCUUUACUGUGUUACUAUGAAUUAUCAAAGUUAGCUAAAAGAAAAUUUAUAAUCAAAUACUUUUGUAUUAACAAACAUUAAAAUUGUGUUUGCAAAUACGAGUACAGUAAAUGUAAGACGUGUCAAAAAAAAGAUUUCUAAUACGCCUGUUUCUAUACCUAUUUACAUGGCGCCUGUAAAUGGACGCCCGGAAUCUGGGAUAAUUGUAAUUUGUGAAUUACGCACGCUAAUGAAGUUAUCGUCGAUGAUCGCAAUUGUUCGUCGAUAAAGCGUCUUUCAAUUAUGAGGCUCGUAUUUUUAUUUAAUUAAUGACUUCGUAUUCACUAUAGACACGCUUUGUGCGAUUAAUUUUUUUAUUCAAACGCAUUGAGAUUUAAAAGAUUUUAUAUCUUAAAUAAACUUAUAAUGAUACAAUUAUUAUACAAAAAAAUAUUAUACAAAAUAUUUAUUCAUUCUAAAAAUAGGCCUUAAUUUUAAUUUUAUUUCAUAUAAAAUUUUAUAUUUUAUUAAAAAAAAUUGUUAAUAAUGCAAUUGAAAUCUUGAAUAAAUUGAAUAUAAAUUACAUUCUUAUAGCGUGAAAUAAAAAAAAUAAGAUUAUGAUAUGUAGAACAAUGACGAUACGUGUCUACUUUCAUACGAAGUUUAAUACGAGCCUUUAACGCAAAAAAAAUUGACAAAUUUGUUUCGUUUUAAUCGCAAUGUGUUUCUCUCUGCAACAAUCAGUGCCCUUGGAACAGUGCACAUCUUGUAGUUAUAUGUGUUAUAUUAAAAUAAGAGUAUAAAAUUAUAAAACUAUCAACAAAUGUACAUAUCAAUAGAAAAAGUCUCAAAAAUAAUAAAAUUCCAAGAAACGAGGAAGGAAACGAUAGGACUUUCGACUUUUAGGUUUGAAUUGGAAUUCUGAUCUUUUUCUCAUUUUUAGACAAAAUAAAAGAACAGAAUUGUAAAAAAUUAUAGGUAGGCUAAUGAUAAUCUAUAUAUUCUCAAUAUUUUACUCGUUGUAAUCUGAAUUCAUUCGUUUCCUUUUUCUUAAUUUGAGAAUCAAUAAUCUGUUUUAAGAGAGAAUACAAUAUAACUACAUACAAUACAAUGUAAUCUGUAAGAGAUAAAAAAAUUGAUUAGCGAAAUUAUGUUGUAUAUAAUGAAAUUUUAGAUACGAAAAUUAAAUGAAAAUUUCAGUUAAUGAAUAAAAUAAAACACAAAGAUAAUUUUCAUCGAUCAAAUUUUGAAGUUAAAAUAAGUAUUCCAAUAUUUUGUAAAGUAUAACGUAAAAAAUAAAAUAUGAUCAUCGAUUCGAUUAAUUCUAACCUAAAAGUCGAUUAUCAUCGUAGUAUUGUUGAUUUACAUAGACUUUGAGCUUUAGUCAAAUAGACCAGUUUCACAAAUAGAAUGCAUUUGUGCAUAAAAGGUAAGAAGAAAAAGAAAGUUAGCGCAUAUGUAAAUUUUUGGCGCGUAUAUUCACCGAUAUUUAUAGUUCGAGGGUAACUUUUCCAUAUAGACUAAAGUUUGAAAUUGCAGAGUAAGACGCAUCGAUACUAUCUACUUCGAUUGUAUAUUUGCUUGAAUGCUUUGUGCUAUCGUAUUCCUUGCUUUUUAUUUUAAAUGUUAUCCAAAAGACUUUGUUCUAAAUAGUUUCACUUUCUAUAUUAUCGUUCGUAUAAACGAUCUAAAACCCUGAGAUGCGAAUUCGCCUUACUGUUGUCCUGGUCUCUUUUUUUUAUGGAAAAAUUGGCCAAGUAAUUGGGUUUCCAGAUGGUUUUUAAAGUGUACCCUCUCAGCACGUAAUAAAUCAUUUUUUAAUUUCACAAAGUUAAAAAUAUAUUAUUCUAUGUACUUUUUUUUUCAAGAUGAAAAAAAAGAAAAAUAUUUUUAUGGACGUUAAUAUAAAAAAGAAGUACAUUGGAAUAAAUAUCAUACCGUAUUUCAAAUUUAUUACGUGCUGUAGAAUAUAAUAUAAAUAUUUUAAAACGUAUAAAAGUGCGAUGUUGUGCGCAACGCAGCUAAAUAUAAUUAAACUUGUUGCUAAUUUGAAAUCACUCGGUCAUAUUUUCAAAUCGAUUCAUAUGAAAUCGUUGUAAGAUAUCAACAACAUAGAAAUUUGUUUAAACGAAAUGUAUAAUAAUAAAAUUAGUUAGUCAGAGCGAUAGCGAACUGCAUAUGCUUUUCCAGCAACAAUAUAUUAGAAAAAAUGUUAAUAGUUAAAACUUUUUUACUUUAAAACGUUACAAUAGUAUGAUUAUGUUAACUAACCAUUACUUUACGUAGUAAAAAAUUGUUAAGCUACACGACUCUACGAUAAAGUGUAUCAAAUUCAUUUACUUUUUCUAAUAGACAUAGUUAUAUAUACCUGUACGUAGUUUGUUGGAAUAAUUAUUCACAUUUUCAUAGAGUGUAAUUUCUUAUGUAAUGAAAUAUACUCGUUAAAGUUUCGUUUCUGUUAAAAUAAUAUUUUCCAUUUUUCAUCUUGUAAAAAAGCUCACUACCGUUCUGAUGUCGUUGAUAAAUAAUGAAUGAUAUUCGUCAUUUUAACAUUCAGAUAAUAUAAUGUAUAAAAGCACGAUUUUAGCGAAAACAGCUGAAUCAUGUCCGAGCUGUAUACUUGUCCGUGGCAGUCUGAAGUUUUAAGAUAUUGAAAAUUAAUUUCAUAUAUACAGCGAAUCAAAACAAUAUUAGCACACAUUCUUGUCUUGAAAUAUUUUUAUAUAUGAUACAUGAUUGCAAUGAUAUAUAUUAAUACAAACGUACAUUUAAUAUUUUUCAAUAUAUGGAACUAAGAUAUACUUUCAAAUCUUUCAAUUAUAUUAAAGAAGAUAAAAAAAGAAAAAUAUUGGCACACUUGUAAUUAUUCAUAAUUAUUUGUACGUAUAUUUUGGAAAGAUGUCAUUACACGCUUUAAUAUUAAAAGCACGCACACAAAAUAACAUUUGUUUUAUAAAAAAACAAUUUAAAUAAUUAUAAAUUUUCAGAAUUGAAAGUUUUGAAUAUAUACUAAUUUUAUAUAUUAAAACGUAUUAAAGAAUAUAUUUCGUAUUAAUGUUACUUUUGUUUGAUAUUUCAAAGAAAAAAAAAGAUGUGCAAAUAUUUUGUUGAUUCACUAUACUUUCUUUUCUUUUUUUGUGGCUUUAGAAUCGUUAAUAUUGUGCAAUUAAAUGUAAAUCUCGUUACUCUUUUAAGUCUUUUAAUAAUGCUUCGAAUGUCGUCUCAAGAUUAUCGUUAUUUGAAGCAGAAUUCUUCAUUGGUGACUUUUUAUGAAUAAAUUGUUUGUCGGAAUAUAUAAAGCGGUUUUUUAUAUCGUCCCUGUUUCUCAAUUAUAAAAUUAUAUAUCUAAUAGUUGUUCAUAUAAUGAUUAUUUCUAAUACAGAAAGUGUGAUUGAUGAUUAUUUCUAAUACUUUCUGUUACUAAUGAUAAAGAUUGGUGAUAACCGAGUGUUGAAAAUUUCGAAGUAUUACAAACUUUCUUACUCUUCUUUAACGUAUUAACGAGAUAAAAAAUUUAAAUAUACGCGUUCUUUUUACAAAAGAAGAAUAUAAAUUGUUUAGGGACGACGUUCGCUUUAAAAAUACGUUGAGUCCUUGUAAUAUAUUCCAGUUUCUCCAUAGGAAAGUCGACUUCCAUGAGAAAGAAUAAAAAUUUGAAAUGCAGCUUAUGAUUUCGAAUCGGGAGUACCUACGUGUCGACAUGGGAGUAAAAACACGACUGGAAACUACGAUACCAGUCUUUUUUCGUUCAGUAGAUAAUGCAUUUUCUGCGUUUUCCGCUCACAUAUUGUAUGCCACGUAGAUUGGAUCGAGUUGGUCCGCUAGAAAACCAUCACGCAAGUGCAUUCGUUGCUUCUCACCACGCGAAUUUAUUGGAACUACUCCAGGAUCCACCACGACCACUACACCGACUACCAGAUGAUGUUCUUCUAGAACAGCGCUGGUAACCAAUGCCACGAGAUCUAAAGCUUCGCUUUCACUUCCGUCAAGUUCCACCACUACUACUAGGAGGUUGGUCCAUGUAAAUACGGCACUGUGAAUUGUAUAAAUAUUUUGUAUUCACAACCAAGAGAAGAAUUAUGGAUUAUAUUUUGGAUUAUAUUUAUAAUAUUGCUUCUUUCUUAUUGUUAUUAAUAAUAUUAUCGUAAUAAUUGACUUACAAUUUUUGAACACGUUUACAUUUACAUACACUUACCAUUCUGCUAUUUUCUUAUGACAUCUCAUCACGCUAUUCUCAAUGUCUAUCGGAUGAUAUCGCAUUCCUCUGAGUAGAAUGGCCUCAUCGAGGGCACCAACUACGAACACAGCAUCAUGUAAUUCAGAAUCGCCAGGAACAAGAUCCGCUUCGGCAGAAGUAUCGCCGGGAAUAUCACUGAUAACCGAUUGCUGAACGCUUUCGGUACGUCUUAAGAAACCAAGAUAACCAGUUCUGGCGUAAACUUCAUUUGUAUUCCCAGUUACGAGACGGGCAUUGAAGUGGUCAGCGUAAUCGCUCUCGUCACCGUAUAUCGUGAAAUAGCCACUGGCAUUAUGAGCAGAUUGCACCCAAAUUUCUCCCAAAUGAGAAUCUCCGCAUUGUCCUUUCGUUUCCGGAUUGGCAAUAAUCACCUUCACUCCGGGUAGUAAUUUACCUGAUUCCAUCAGGCAUAAAGAAUGUGGACUACCUCUUUCAACUAGAGAUACUCGGUCAUUGCGCAAUGCGCGGAGAUCAACGUAUACUGUAGAAGGUUCUGGACUCGAUGCACCCUGU
Long non-coding RNA from Apis cerana (Asiatic honeybee), 11769 nucleotides. RefSeq lists it as uncharacterized. The record is from RefSeq and is a predicted model, not a curated record. Lineage: Eukaryota; Metazoa; Arthropoda; Insecta; Hymenoptera; Apidae.